UUAUAAAAUCUGGAGGUAGAAACCCUCGUUUGUCCAGAGAACAGGUACAGCACAGCUAGCACCAGUGCAAAUCUUAUCACACUGUCCCACCAAGAUGCUGUAGCCCUCACCUGAAAUGACUGCCUGGAGAGGCUUUAGUCUCCAUGCCCAAUCUUUGGGGUCU
Molecule: small RNA, 163 nt
Filed under: Chrysemys picta bellii (western painted turtle)
Lineage: Eukaryota; Metazoa; Chordata; Testudines; Emydidae
Description: TUC338 (ENSCPBG00000022032.1)
Source: RNAcentral